Non-coding RNA from Trichophaea hybrida, 93 nucleotides. The record is from the annotation of a GenBank genome assembly. NCBI's taxonomy places the organism in Eukaryota, Fungi, Ascomycota, Pezizomycetes, Pezizales, Pyronemataceae.
GGCAGGAUGGCCGAGUUGGUUAUGGCGCCAGGUUAGGGUUAAUAGUCUUAACACAAACUCCUGGUUCGGGGGGUUCAAGUCCCACUCCUGUCA